RNAcentral lists this ribosomal RNA (451 nucleotides) under uncultured Fibrobacter sp. RNAcentral's name for it is "partial 16S ribosomal RNA". It matches the Rfam family "Bacterial small subunit ribosomal RNA", at positions 341 to 792 of the family's 1533-position model. The record is from RNAcentral. Lineage: Bacteria; Pseudomonadati; Fibrobacterota; Fibrobacteria; Fibrobacterales; Fibrobacteraceae.
ACGGAAGGCAGCAGUAGGGAAUAUUGCACAAUGGGGGGAACCCUGAUGCAGCAACGCCACGUGUGGGAAGAAGCAUUUCGGUGUGUAAACCACUGUCGUGAGGGAAUAAUGCUUGGUCUCGGCCAAGUUGAAUGUACCUCGAAAGGAAGCACCGGCAAACUUCGUGCCAGCAGCCGCGGUAAUACGAGGGGUGCAAGCGUUGUUCGGAAUCACUGGACGUAAAGGGAGCGCAGGCGGAGAUGCAAGCAGUCUGUACAAUACCGGGGCCCAACCCCGGACCUGCAGACUGGACUGUUUCUCUUGGAUAGUUCAGGGGCAAGCGGAAUUCCUGGUGUAGCGGUGGAAUGCGUAGAGAUCAGGAAGAACACCGAUGGCGAAGGCAGCUUGCUGGGGACUUAUCGACGCUCAUGCUCGAAAGUGCGGGUAGCAAACAGGAUUAGAUACCCUGGUA